Molecule: ribosomal RNA, 504 nt
Filed under: uncultured bacterium
Lineage: Bacteria
Description: bacterial SSU rRNA
Rfam family: Bacterial small subunit ribosomal RNA
Source: RNAcentral
AUCCUGGCUCAGGAUGAACGCUAGCUACAGGCUUAACACAUGCAAGUCGAGGGGAAACGACAUCAAGAGCUUGCUUUUGAUGGGCGUCGACCGGCGCACGGGUGAGUAACGCGUAUCCAACCUGCCCACCACUUGGGGAUAACCUUGCGAAAGUAAGACUAAUACCCAAUGAUAUCUCUAGAAGACAUCUGAAAGAGAUUAAAGAUUUAUCGGUGAUGGAUGGGGAUGCGUCUGAUUAGCUUGUUGACGGGGUAACGGCCCACCAAGGCGACGAUCAGUAGGGGUUCUGAGAGGAAGGUCCCCCACAUUGGAACUGAGACACGGUCCAAACUCCUACGGGAGGCAGCAGUGAGGAAUAUUGGUCAAUGGGCGAGAGCCUGAACCAGCCAAGUAGCGUGCAGGAUGACGGCCCUAUGGGUUGUAAACUGCUUUUAUAAGGGAAUAAAGUGAGAGUCGUGACUCUUUUUGCAUGUACCUUAUGAAUAAGGACCGGCUAAUUCCGUG